ACAUCGGUAGCACUGUGGUUAGUGCAGUGUGCCAGAAACAGAAAGACGCGGGUUCAAAACCCGUCCGAUGCG
Molecule: non-coding RNA, 72 nt
Organism: Nippostrongylus brasiliensis
Lineage: Eukaryota; Metazoa; Nematoda; Chromadorea; Rhabditida; Heligmosomidae
Source: Rfam